RNAcentral lists this transfer-messenger RNA (339 nucleotides) under uncultured Lachnoclostridium sp. It matches the Rfam family "transfer-messenger RNA". Rfam says of the family: Bacterial tmRNA, also known as 10Sa RNA or SsrA, is named for its dual tRNA and mRNA-like properties. Its role is to liberate the mRNA from a stalled ribosome. To accomplish this part of the tmRNA is used as a reading frame that ends in a translation stop signal. Lineage: Bacteria; Bacillati; Bacillota; Clostridia; Lachnospirales; Lachnospiraceae. The record is from RNAcentral.
GGGGUAGUACUGGUUUCGACAGGGGCCAUGCAGCUGGUGAAGCUAUCCGCAUGCAAUGCGUUAAAUGGCAAACUUAAAUAUAAACGCUAAAAACGAUUUAGUACUGGCAGCCUAAGGGCAGCCUGUCAGCCUUAGAGCACCCACACUUUAAGAACCUGGCAUCGACUAUGUGGGAAACGACUCAUGCAAAGCUUUGAGCAUGUGGGCGUAUUAUGAAGCUACUGAACGCGUCAGGGUGUCAGCCCCCGGACGCCGGAGGGAAUGACAAAAGACUGACUAUGAUAGUAGAAGAACAGGGAAUUGGUUUUUGGACACGGGUUCAAAUCCCGUCUACUCCAC